This 468-nucleotide ribosomal RNA is filed under the name uncultured bacterium. RNAcentral's name for it is "partial 16S ribosomal RNA". It matches the Rfam family "Bacterial small subunit ribosomal RNA", at positions 28 to 507 of the family's 1533-position model. The record is from RNAcentral.
GACGAACGCUGGCGGCGUGCUUAACACAUGCAAGUCGAACGGAAAGGCCCUGCUUUUGUGGGGUGCUCGAGUGGCGAACGGGUGAGUAACACGUGAGUAACCUGCCCUUGACUUUGGGAUAACUUCAGGAAACUGGGGCUAAUACCGGCUAGGAGCUCCUGCUGCAUGGUGGGGGUUGGAAAGUUUCGGCGGUUGGGGAUGGACUCGCGGCUUAUCAGAUUGUUGGUGGGGUAGUGGCUUACCAAGGCUUUGACGGGUAGCCGGCCUGAGAGGGUGACCGGCCACACUGGGACUGAGCUAAGGCACAGACUCGUACGGGAGGCAGGAGUGGGGAAUAUUGCACAAUGGGCGGAAGGCUGAUGCAGCACAGCCGCGUGCGGGAUGACGGCAUUCGGGUUGUAAACCGCUUUCGCCUGUGACGAAGCGUGAGUGACGGUAAUGGGUAAAGAAGCACCGGCUAACUACGUG